This 72-nucleotide transfer RNA is filed under the name bacterium. RNAcentral's name for it is "tRNA-Thr". It matches the Rfam family "tRNA". From Rfam's summary of the family: Transfer RNA (tRNA) molecules are approximately 80 nucleotides in length. Their secondary structure includes four short double-helical elements and three loops (D, anti-codon, and T loops). RNAcentral also lists the same sequence under 1 other name. The record is from RNAcentral.
GCCUUUGUGGCUCAGUGGUAGAGCAUCCCCUUGGUAAGGGGAAGGUCGCGAGUUCAAUUCUCGCCAUAGGCU